UUGGAGGGCAAGUCUGGUGCCAGCAGCCGCGGUAAUUCCAGCUCCAAUAGCGUAUAUUAAAGUUGUUGCAGUUAAAAAGCUCGUAGUUGAAUUUCGGGGUUCUACCGUCGGUCGGGCUAACAAGUCUGUACUGGUGUGUAGAAUUUCUACCUUCUGGGGAACUAUCAUGUUAUUAAUUUAGCGUGGUGGGAAACCAGGACCUUUACCUUGAAAAAAUUAGAGUGUUCAAAGCAGGCUUACGUCUGAAUACAUUAGCAUGGAAUAAUAGAAUAGGACGGUGGUCCUGUUUUGUUGGUUUCUGAAUCACCGUAAUGAUUAAUAGGGAUAGUUGGGGGCAUUAGUAUUCAAUUGUCAGAGGUGAAAUUCUUGGAUUUAUUGAAGACUAACUUCUGCGAAAGCAUUUGCCAAGGAUGUUUUCAUUAAUCAAGAACGAAAGUUAGGGGAUCGAAGACGAUCAGAUACCGUCGUAGUCUUAACCAUAAACUAUGUCGACUAGGGAUCGGACGAUGUUAACCUUUAUUGACUCGUUCGGCACCUUACGGGAAAC
RNAcentral lists this ribosomal RNA (547 nucleotides) under uncultured Gigasporaceae. RNAcentral describes it as "SSU rRNA". It matches the Rfam family "Eukaryotic small subunit ribosomal RNA", at positions 548 to 1098 of the family's 1831-position model. The record is from RNAcentral. Lineage: Eukaryota; Fungi; Glomeromycota; Glomeromycetes; Diversisporales; Gigasporaceae.